Molecule: ribosomal RNA, 543 nt
Filed under: uncultured bacterium
Lineage: Bacteria
Description: partial 16S ribosomal RNA
Rfam family: Bacterial small subunit ribosomal RNA
Source: RNAcentral
UGGGGAAUAUUGCACAAUGGGCGAAAGCCUGAUGCAGCAACGCCGCGUGAGUGAUGAAGGUCUUCGGAUUGUAAAGCUCUGUCUUUUGGGACGAUAAUGACGGUACCAAAGGAGGAAGCCACGGCUAACUACGUGCCAGCAGCCGCGGUAAUACGUAGGUGGCGAGCGUUGUCCGGAUUUACUGGGCGUAAAGGGUGCGUAGGCGGAUGUUUAAGUGAGAUGUGAAAUACCCGGGCUUAACUUGGGUGCUGCAUUUCAAACUGGAUAUCUAGAGUGCAGGAGAGGAGAAUGGAAUUCCUAGUGUAGCGGUGAAAUGCGUAGAGAUUAGGAAGAACACCAGUGGCGAAGGCGAUUCUCUGGACUGUAACUGACGCUGAGGCACGAAAGCGUGGGUAGCAAACAGGAUUAGAUACCCUGGUAGUCCACGCCGUAAACGAUGAGUACUAGGUGUAGGAGGUAUCGACCCCUUCUGUGCCGCAGUAAACACAUUAAGUACUCCGCCUGGGAAGUACCGAUCGCAAGAUUAAAACUCUAAAGUGAAUU